UCGUUGCGAUGGUAGUCAUGCUCAAUAUGAUAAGAACCAUUGGUUUAGACAUUUAGUUCAUAUGCUUGGCCGAUUAUACAAUGGUGUGAAGCUAUCAUUUUCGGUACUAUUACUGAGUGACUCUAAGUUAGAAAUCCUUCUGCACAUGAUGA
This 152-nucleotide non-coding RNA is filed under the name Onchocerca ochengi. Its description in RNAcentral is "Eukaryotic large subunit ribosomal RNA". It matches the Rfam family "Eukaryotic large subunit ribosomal RNA", at positions 3008 to 3160 of the family's 3401-position model. The record is from Rfam by way of RNAcentral. Lineage: Eukaryota; Metazoa; Nematoda; Chromadorea; Rhabditida; Onchocercidae.